RNAcentral lists this unclassified non-coding RNA (253 nucleotides) under uncultured Bacillaceae bacterium. Its description in RNAcentral is "contains 16S-23S intergenic spacer region". It matches the Rfam family "Bacterial small subunit ribosomal RNA", at positions 524 to 776 of the family's 1533-position model. The record is from RNAcentral. Lineage: Bacteria; Bacillati; Bacillota; Bacilli; Caryophanales; Bacillaceae.
UACGUAGGGGGCAAGCGUUGUCCGGAAUUAUUGGGCGUAAAGCGCGCGCAGGCGGUUCCUUAAGUCUGAUGUGAAAGCCUGCGGCUCAACCGUGGAGGGUCAUUGGAAACUGGGGAACUUGGGGACAGAAGAGGAGAGUGGAAUUCCACGUGUAGCGGUGAAAUGCGUAGAUAUGUGGAGGAACACCAGUGGCGAAGGCGACUCUCUGGUCUGUUUCUGACGCUGGGGUGCGAAAGCGUGGGUAGCAAACAGG